Molecule: long non-coding RNA, 832 nt
Organism: Monodelphis domestica (gray short-tailed opossum)
Lineage: Eukaryota; Metazoa; Chordata; Mammalia; Didelphimorphia; Didelphidae
Source: RefSeq, a predicted model, not a curated record
UCCUUUUGUGUGUCCUCUUCCUGUCUAUUAGUUUCUGGAGGGCAGAGACAAGGACUUUCUUAGCUCAGUCCCUGGCACAUACUGUUUGUUCCUCAUCAGUGUGUCUGGUGUCAAAAGCUCUCCCAUAACACAAAGGAGUGGAUUUGGGGAGUUUACAAUUCUCUUUCUCACUGCUCCCAACCAGAAAAUUAGAAACCCAACUGGACACUGCUCUCUAUACAAGUCAACAACUCCCUCUUAGAAGCCUAAGGUUCACAAACACUAACAGAUGAAUAUUUAUUUGCAGGUGAUUAAAAACAAAAGAAUUUCUAUGAGAGUCUGUGGAAAAUAGCAGCCACUGGGAAUAGAACUCCAGGGGAGAGUGGGACACACAUAGUCUCUGAAGAUCUGAUUGGCAGGAUGCUGUUUCAGGGGAAGAGAACAAUCGUCAAUGGCAGGUUUUUGGCCGCCAUCCGCUUGGGACAGCCACUUCUCCUGGCACCACCCUGGCUGCCCGCUCCGCUCCGCCCUGCUUGUCUGUGCUCCAGCUCUGGCACCGGCCCAGCGGACUUUCUCUUGUUCACCUGGCCCACCUGAUUCAACCAAGAUUGUAAUCACCUGGUGACCUGCCUGCCCAACAAACCCAGAUCCUUGGCGGAGACAUCAGAGUCCAAUGGCAAGAAAUAAGUCAAGAUGACUAGUGACGAUCUGGAAUGCAAUAGUUGGAAAUUCAAGACUGGAGAUCAGGAGAAAGGUUGGAAGUGGACAAAUAGACCUGAGAAUCAUCUGGUUAGAGAUGAUCAUUGAAUCCAUGGCCUGCCCUUUCUUCAUAAAACCAUGUUGGCACCCUGUA